AGAUGAUAUCACAAACGAUGAUGGUAUACCGGAACUAUUGAACUGGUGGAGGAAUCGUGGAGAUCAAUUUCCAAAACUUAGUAGGAUGGUGAAGGAUGUGCUUGCAAUUCAAGGAUCAUCAGUAGCUUCAAAGGCAACUUUCAGCGCGGGCAAGAUUUCAAAUUGGAGACCACAGAUAUUCGUUAGCAGAAGACAGCCUGGAGAUAUCAGUGUUAUUUAGAGACUGGAUAAAUGCUGAGCGUAGAAAUCAAGGACUUCCAAAGUUAGAUAGUCAAUUUGAACUUUUCAU
This 289-nucleotide unclassified non-coding RNA is filed under the name Hevea brasiliensis (rubber tree). Lineage: Eukaryota; Viridiplantae; Streptophyta; Magnoliopsida; Malpighiales; Euphorbiaceae. The record is from RNAcentral.